GUGAACGCUGGCGGCGUGCUUAACACAUGCAAGUCGAACGGUAACAGGAAGUAGCUUGCUACUUUGCUGACGAGUGGCGCACGGGUGAGUAAACUAUAGUUAAUGUGCCUCGAAGACUGGGAUAGCCACUAAAAACGGUGAUUAAUACUAAAUACACCUCUUUAACUCAAACUAAAAAAGGAAACGUUUUUUCGCUUCGAGAUCAGACUAUAUCCUAUCAGUUAGUUGGUGAGGUAAUGGCUCACCAAGGCAAUAACAAAUAGCGGUUCUAAAAAGAUGAUCCGCCACACUGGUACUGAGACACGGACCAGACUCCUACGGGAGGCAGCAGUGAGGAAUAUUGCACAAUGGGGGGAACCCUGAUGCAGCAACGCCGCGUGGAGGAUGACGCAUUUCGGUGUGUAAACUCCUUUUAUAUGUCAAGAAAAUGACGGUAGCAUAUGAAUAAGCACCGGCUAACUCCGU
This 465-nucleotide ribosomal RNA is filed under the name uncultured bacterium. Its description in RNAcentral is "bacterial SSU rRNA". It matches the Rfam family "Bacterial small subunit ribosomal RNA", at positions 29 to 506 of the family's 1533-position model. The record is from RNAcentral.